RNAcentral lists this ribosomal RNA (253 nucleotides) under uncultured bacterium. RNAcentral's name for it is "partial 16S ribosomal RNA". It matches the Rfam family "Bacterial small subunit ribosomal RNA", at positions 524 to 776 of the family's 1533-position model. The record is from RNAcentral.
UACGAAGGGGGCUAGCGUUGUUCGGAAUUACUGGGCGUAAAGCGCGCGCAGGCGGUUCUUCAAGUCAGAGGUGAAAGCCCAGAGCUCAACUCCGGAAUGGCCUUUGAGACUAGAGAACUAGGGUACGGGAGAGGUGAGUGGAAUUCCGAGUGUAGAGGUGAAAUUCGUAGAUAUUCGGAAGAACACCAGUGGCGAAGGCGGCUCACUGGCCCGUUACCGACGCUCAGGCGCGACAGCGUGGGGAGCAAACAGG